GUAUUGCAGGAAGUCCUCUUUCACAAAAUUGUAUGUGUUUGUGUCUGAGAGAAAGAAAUGGAGACAGACAGAAAGACGAAGAAGAAGACAGCCCCCUCAGAAGAGAGCUAGUUAAGUCCUACAGGACAAGGAUCCUUAUUUGUUCACUGAAGGACCUCAGGUGGCUUGACCUGUACCCGUGGCACAGCAGUCAAUACAAAUUGGCCGGAUGGAAGGAGGGAUCGUUCCUUUCAUUCACAGAUCCCUCCCUUCUCUCUGCACUUCCUGUCCAUCUGUCUCCCUCCACUUUUCCCCUCCUCCUCUCC
Camelus dromedarius (Arabian camel) is the source of this 305-nucleotide long non-coding RNA. RefSeq lists it as uncharacterized. The transcript is spliced from 3 exons. The record is from RefSeq and is a predicted model, not a curated record. Lineage: Eukaryota; Metazoa; Chordata; Mammalia; Artiodactyla; Camelidae.